RNAcentral lists this ribosomal RNA (492 nucleotides) under uncultured bacterium. Its description in RNAcentral is "partial 16S ribosomal RNA". It matches the Rfam family "Bacterial small subunit ribosomal RNA", at positions 29 to 507 of the family's 1533-position model. The record is from RNAcentral.
AGUGAACGCUGGCGGUAGGCCUAACACAUGCAAGUCGAACGGCAGCACAGUAAGAGCUUGCUCUUACGGGUGGCGAGUGGCGGACGGGUGAGGAAUACAUCGGAAUCUACUUUUUCGGGGGGGAUAACGUAGGGAAACUUACGCUAAUACCGCAUACGACCUACGGGUGAAAGCAGGGGAUCUUCGGACCUUGCGCGAUUGAAUGAGCCGAUGUCGGAUUAGCUAGUUGGCGGGGUAAAGGCCCACCAAGGCGACGAUCCGUAGCUGGUCUGAGAGGAUGAUCAGCCACACUGGAACUGAGACACGGUCCAGACUCCUACGGGAGGCAGCAGUGGGGAAUAUUGGACAAUGGGCGCAAGCCUGAUCCAGCCAUACCGCGUGGGCGAAGAAGGCCUUCGGGUUGUAAAGCCCUUUUGUUGGGAAAGAAAAGCAGCAGGUUAAUACCCCGCUGUUCUGACGGUACCCAAAGAAUAAGCACCGGCUAACUUCGUG